Molecule: ribosomal RNA, 497 nt
Filed under: uncultured bacterium
Lineage: Bacteria
Description: partial 16S ribosomal RNA
Rfam family: Bacterial small subunit ribosomal RNA
Source: RNAcentral
GAUGAACGCUGGCGGCGUGCCUAAUACAUGCAAGUCGAGCGAACGGACGAUAAGCUUGCUUCUCUGAUGUUAGCGGCGGACGGGUGAGUAACACGUGGAUAACCUACCUAUAAGACUGGGAUAACUUCGGGAAACCGUAGCUAAUACCAGAUAAUAAUUUCAACCGACUGGUUCAACAGUGAAAGACGGUCUUGCUGUCACUUAUAGAUGGAUCCGCGCUGCAUUAGCUAGUUGGUAAGGUAACGGCUUACCAAGGCAACGAUGCAUAGCCGACCUGAGAGGGUGAUAGGCCACACUGGAACUGAGACACGGUCCAGACUCCUACGGGAGGCAGCGGUAGGGAAUCUUCCGCAAUGGGCGGAAGCCUGGCCGAACAACGCCGCGUGAGUUAUGAAGGUCUUCGGAUCGUAAAACUCUGUUAUUUGGGUAGAACAUAUGUGUAAGUAACUGGGCACAUCUUGACGGUACCUUAUCAGAAAGCCACGGCUAACUACGUG